This 421-nucleotide ribosomal RNA is filed under the name uncultured bacterium. RNAcentral describes it as "partial 16S ribosomal RNA". It matches the Rfam family "Bacterial small subunit ribosomal RNA", at positions 360 to 773 of the family's 1533-position model. The record is from RNAcentral.
AAUAUUGGACAAUGGGGGCAACCCUGAUCCAGCCAUGCCGCGAGUGUGAAGAAGGUCUUCGGAUUGUAAAGCACUUUAAGUUGGGAGGAAGGGCUUUAGGUUAAUACCCUGAAGUUUUGACGUUACCAACUGAAUACGCACCGGCUAACUCUGCACCAGCAGCCGCGGUAAUACAGAGGGUGCAAGCGUUAAGCGGAAUUACUGGGCGUAAAGCGCGCGUAGGUGGUUCAGUAAGAUGGGUGUGAAAUCCCCGGGCUUAACCUGGAAGCUGCUUUCAUAACCGCUGAGCUAGAGUACGGUAGAGGGUAGUGGAAUUUCCUGUGUAGCGGUGAAAUGCGUAGAUAUAGGAAGGAACACCAGAGGCGAAGGCGACUACCUGGACUGAUACUGACACUGAGGUGCGAAAGCGUGGGGAGCAAAC